RNAcentral lists this ribosomal RNA (257 nucleotides) under uncultured bacterium. RNAcentral's name for it is "partial 16S ribosomal RNA". It matches the Rfam family "Bacterial small subunit ribosomal RNA", at positions 92 to 353 of the family's 1533-position model. The record is from RNAcentral.
CGAGUGGCGGACGGGUGAGUAAUGUCUGGGAAACUGCCUGAUGGAGGGGGAUAACUACUGGAAACGGUAGCUAAUACCGCAUAACGUCGCAAGACCAAAGAGGGGGACCUUCGGGCCUCUUGCCAUCGGAUGUGCCCAGAUGGGAUUAGCUGUGGUGGGGUAACGGCUCACCAGGCGACGAUCCCUAGCUGGUCUGAGAGGAUGACCAGCCACACUGGAACUGAGACACGGUCCAGACUCCUACGGGAGGCAGCAUG